This 523-nucleotide ribosomal RNA is filed under the name uncultured eubacterium WR810. Its description in RNAcentral is "bacterial SSU rRNA". It matches the Rfam family "Bacterial small subunit ribosomal RNA", at positions 9 to 527 of the family's 1533-position model. The record is from RNAcentral.
GAGUUUGAUCAUGGCUCAGAUUGAACGCUGGCGGCAUGCCUUACACAUGCAAGUCGAACGGCAGCACGGACUUCGGUCUGGUGGCGAGUGGCGAACGGGUGAGUAAUACAUCGGAACGUGUCCUGUAGUGGGGGAUAGCCCGGCGAAAGCCGGAUUAAUACCGCAUACGCUCUACGGAGGAAAGGGGGGGAUCUUAGGACCUCUCGCUACAGGGGCGGCCGAUGGCAGAUUAGCUAGUUGGUGGGGUAAAGGCCUACCAAGGCGACGAUCUGUAGCUGGUCUGAGAGGACGACCAGCCACACUGGGACUGAGACACGGCCCAGACUCCUACGGGAGGCAGCAGUGGGGAAUUUUGGACAAUGGGGGCAACCCUGAUCCAGCAAUGCCGCGUGUGUGAAGAAGGCCUUCGGGUUGUAAAGCACUUUUGUCCGGAAAGAAAACCACCUGGCUAAUAUCCGGGUGGGAUGACGGUACCGUAAGAAUAAGCACCGGCUAACUACGUGCCAGCAGCCGCGGUAAUACG